GAUUGAACGCUGGCGGCAGGCCUAACACAUGCAAGUCGAACGGCAGCACAGAAGAGCUUGCUCUUUGGGUGGCGAGUGGCGGACGGGUGAGUAAUGUCUGGGAAACUGCCCGAUGGAGGGGGAUAACUACUGGAAACGGUAGCUAAUACCGCAUAACGUCGCGAGACCAAAGUGGGGGACCUUCGGGCCUCACACCAUCGGAUGUGCCCAGGUGGGAUUAGCUAGUAGGUGGGGUAAUGGCUCACCUAGGCGACGAUCCCUAGCUGGUCUGAGAGGAUGACCAGCCACACUGGAACUGAGACACGGUCCAGACUCCUACGGGAGGCAGCAGUGGGGAAUAUUGCACAAUGGGCGCAAGCCUGAUGCAGCCAUGCCGCGUGUAUGAAGAAGGCCUUCGGGUUGUAAAGUACUUUCAGCGGGGAGGAAGGCGGUGAGGUUAAUAACCUCGCCGAUUGACGUUACCCGCAGAAGAAGCACCGGCUAACUCCGUGCCAGCAGCCGCGGUAAUACGGAGGGUGCAAGCGUUAAUCGGAAUUACUGGGCGUAAAGCGCACGCAGGCGGUCUGUUAAGUCAGAUGUGAAAUCCCCGGGCUUAACCUGGGAACUGCAUUUGAAACUGGCAGGCUUGAGUCUCGUAGAGGGGGGUAGAAUUCCCAGGUGUAGCGGUGAAAUGCGUAGAGAUCUGGAGGAAUACCGGUGGCGAAGGCGGCCCCCUGGACGAAGACUGACGCUCAGGUGCGAAAGCGUGGGGAGCAAACAGGGUUAGAUACCCUGGUAGUCCACGCCGUAAACGAUGUCGACUUGGAGGUUGUGCCCUUGAGGCGUGGCUUCCGGAGCUAACGCGUUAAGUCGACCGCCUGGGGAGUACGGCCGCAAGGUUAAAACUCAAAUGAAUUGACGGGGGCCCGCACAAGCGGUGGAGCAUGUGGUUUAAUUCGAUGCAACGCGAAGAACCUUACCUGGCCUUGACAUCCAGAGAACUUAGCAGAGAUGCUUUGGUGCCUUCGGGAACUCUGAGACAGGUGCUGCAUGGCUGUCGUCAGCUCGUGUUGUGAAAUGUUGGGUUAAGUCCCGCAACGAGCGCAACCCUUAUCCUUUGUUGCCAGCGGUUCGGCCGGGAACUCAAAGGAGACUGCCGGUGAUAAACCGGAGGAAGGUGGGGAUGACGUCAAGUCAUCAUGGCCCUUACGAGUAGGGCUACACACGUGCUACAAUGGCGUAUACAAAGAGAAGCGACCUCGCGAGAGCAAGCGGACCUCAUAAAGUACGUCGUAGUCCGGAUUGGAGUCUGCAACUCGACUCCAUGAAGUCGGAAUCGCUAGUAAUCGUAGAUCAGAAUGCUACGGUGAAUACGUUCCCGGGCCUUGUACACACUGCC
RNAcentral lists this ribosomal RNA (1378 nucleotides) under uncultured bacterium. RNAcentral describes it as "bacterial SSU rRNA". It matches the Rfam family "Bacterial small subunit ribosomal RNA", at positions 27 to 1394 of the family's 1533-position model. The record is from RNAcentral.